This 483-nucleotide ribosomal RNA is filed under the name uncultured bacterium. RNAcentral's name for it is "bacterial SSU rRNA". It matches the Rfam family "Bacterial small subunit ribosomal RNA", at positions 28 to 526 of the family's 1533-position model. The record is from RNAcentral.
GACGAACGCUGGCGGCGUGCUUAACACAUGCAAGUCGAACGGAAAGGCCCGCUUGCGGGUACUCGAGUGGCGAACGGGUGAGUAACACGUGGGCAACCUGCCCUCAGCUUUGGGAUAACUCCCGGAAACGGGUGCUAAUACCGGAUAUUGACUUUUCCUCGCAUGGGGUUUGGUUGAAAGUUUUUCGGCUGAGGAUGGGCCCGCGGCCUAUCAGCUUGUUGGUGGGGUAAUGGCCUACCAAGGCGACGACGGGUAGCCGGCCUGAGAGGGCGACCGGCCACACUGGAACUGAGACACGGUCCAGACUCCUACGGGAGGCAGCAGUGGGGAAUAUUGCGCAAUGGGCGAAAGCCUGACGCAGCGACGCCGCGUGAGGGAUGACGGCCUUCGGGUUGUAAACCUCUUUCAGCAGGGACGAAGAGUGAUUGACGGUACCUGCAGAAGAAGCACCGGCCAACUACGUGCCAGCAGCCGCCGUAAGAC